GUCUUUCAGCGGCUAUGAGCCUGGAGAGCAGUUGGCAGUUAGUUAGCAGCAAGGAUUCGCCAUGAAACAGCCAAUGUGGGUGUGUGCAACAUCAACCGCUACAUGUAUUGCCACGCUGUUCGAAUCCGUUUGUGCAGUGGAUCAGGAAAGUUGAAACAAAAGGUCUGGCACUGCCGUUAAAGCAGAGAGCAGAGCUCUAGAGGUCAUAAAGGUAAAAGCACACCUGAUCUCAACACGUCCUUUGAUCGUUUCCCAGCAUUAGGCUGUUCAUUUAUGGCAGGUGUGUUUGGAAUGGCUGAGUGCCUCCUUUGACAGACAAAGUGUCAAGGCUAAGUGCUUUCAAUACAGCUGGCUGAUUUUCUCCUAUGUCACAAGUUCCUUACGGUUUGGCAUAACUAUACAAGGGGAAACCAGUGUUAUAAAGUGUCUCCUUCCCUCAUUAUUUAUCAUUAUAAAUGUCAUUAUUGUGAUUGUAUGAUUUAAGAAGGUCUACUGGUGGUUUAUCACAUUCAUAGUCCCGAGACUCAAACUUGAAGUGGCUCAUGGAGAGCAGCAGAGCACCUGAGCUGAAAGAGAAAGCGAACAGGACAACCUAUCCUGGAAACCCCCUCAGGUGUGACCAGAGGAAUCCAUUUUUAUUAUCGCCUGCCAGAUCGUGACAUGACGCUAACAGCAGCUUCACAGGAUCCGUUUCUGUUCUGACAGCAAAGACAAAGAAGACUCCUGGCAGCCUGGCAGGUUGGGAUUAUGACCCGACUUGUUAUGUUCUCCUGUUCUCGUCGCUGAAACGGAACAAUUACUGUUUAGUAUUUCCACAAGCCCAAUGCAGCCUUUCAGUGCUACACUUGCUGAAACAUAUGGCACUAGGGUGGAUAAUUAUCAUCGUCUAACCGGCAGACGGAAUUUGUUUCUGCAAUGGUUUUGGGCAGAUGCCAGUAAACAUCAUUAACCUGGGAGGCCCCACACAUCCAUCACUGGCUGCUUCACCGCUGCAGUGAUGGGCCAGGAUGUGUCUCUUUCUCUCAUAUUGCCUGCCGUGAUCAUUCAGCUGCUUUCAUCAACCACUCCUUCAUUAGUACUUUUAUUUCCAACAGAAAGAGGCCACUCCAGCAUAUCAUGUGGCUUUAAAGCCAGUACUAUUCAUUUAGGCAGCCUACGAAGGUUACAUGUAGGUUAUGUGUUUGUAUUUGCCUGUAAAUGUGUGUUAAAAUUGAGGAUUUUUUGUUUGCAACUUUUACUAACAGGUAUUUCUUUAAAAACCUUGGUAUUCUUGGCAAGUAAGGGCAUUUACCCUUAUAGUUUACGACCUUGCAAGAGCAGUGAUUUGAGUGCAGUGGUGCAAUCAUGGGUCUUGUUAAUUGCGACUAUAAAAGCGUAAUGAUCCUACUUCAGCACAUGUUGUGUUGUGGUCUUAUCAGGAACUCAUGCGAGUGCAUCUCAUCAGAUACUCUGACUCUCAUGUAGGGAAUGUAUGAGUGUGUUUGUGUGUGUGUGUGUGUGUGUGUGUGUGUGUAUGUGUGUUGUGUGUGUGUGUGUGUGUGUGUGUGUGUGUGAGAGAGAGUGUGUGUGCAGUACAUGGGCUCUUAUAGAUGCAUGGUAACCCAUACAAAAUUCUCAGAAUUUCUCCUCACACUCAUUAUAUAUUAAAGGCAUGUUUUUGAGGUGCAUGGAGUUUCUACGAGCUGAUAUUGGCUCUAUGUUGUGGGCACCCCACUGAGGCCUCAUAUUCCAAAACUUUGCUUUACCAUAUUAAAAAGCGU
Long non-coding RNA from Clupea harengus (Atlantic herring), 1760 nucleotides. The record is from Ensembl. NCBI's taxonomy places the organism in Eukaryota, Metazoa, Chordata, Actinopteri, Clupeiformes, Clupeidae.